GGAGCACCCUGAGGGCUGCGAUGUUAUCGGAACUGGCUCUCCCAGAUGCUCGCUCGGCCCCAAAUGUGCCUCCACGUUGUGAUUUGGUGUUGGGCUCAACAUGUCACUUGGCCUAGAAUGCAGCUUCCUCUCUUUCUUCAUCUUAUCCUUCAGGACCCAGUGGAAGUGCCACCUCCUUCAUGAGGCCCUCCUAGCCUGCCAAGGUAGCCCCUCCUCAGAGCGUCUGGAAUACCAGACAGCACCUUCCACGGAGCUCCAGAACCAUGCACUGCAGGGCCUCGCUUCCAUAUUUUCCUCUUCCCCUUGGCUGUGUGCAGUUGAGGCACAGGAUGGAGGCUCCCACAUCCCUACUCUACGGACUUUCUUCUAUUGUCUGCCACGAAGCAGCCAAGGCCUUUCAGUCUCUGGAGCUGGUCAAAAUAACUUUGUUUUCCAUUUGCAUUGUUUUCAAGAAAUGAUUAAACUGCCCAAGAUGUUCUCCAUCCGACAUUCCCCUUUUGGUCAAGAAGAUGUUCUCCAUCCCACGAUGCCGGGUCCAGAUUCCUCCCUGGGAGUCAUAUUCAACGUUACCAGGGGUAAUUUAUCCAUUUUGUUGCAUGUAGUUCUAAUUUGCUCAUUUUUGUUGCUUUAUAAUAUUCUGUUCACC
Long non-coding RNA from Choloepus didactylus (southern two-toed sloth), 646 nucleotides. RefSeq lists it as uncharacterized. Lineage: Eukaryota; Metazoa; Chordata; Mammalia; Pilosa; Megalonychidae. The transcript is spliced from 4 exons. The record is from RefSeq and is a predicted model, not a curated record.